GACAGAGGGGGCAAGCGUUGCUCGGAAUUACUGGGCGUAAAGGGCGCGUAGGCGGGAUGGCAAGUCGGUCGUGAAAUCCUUCGGCUCAACCGAAGAACGUCGAUCGAUACUGCUGUUCUUGAGGGUUGCAGAGGAGACUGGAAUUCCCGGUGUAGCGGUGAAAUGUGUAGAGAUCGGGAAGAAUACCAGUGGCGAAGGCGUUCUGCUGGGCCGUUGCUGACGCUGAGGCGCGACAGCGUGGGGAGCAAACAGG
RNAcentral lists this ribosomal RNA (253 nucleotides) under uncultured prokaryote. RNAcentral's name for it is "partial 16S ribosomal RNA". It matches the Rfam family "Bacterial small subunit ribosomal RNA", at positions 524 to 776 of the family's 1533-position model. The record is from RNAcentral.